UUGUAGUAUCCGUAUCUCUACUAGAAGUCUGACAGUGAUGUUGUAGCGACAGCGAUAGUCGACUGGCGGCGAUAGUGAACGCGACGGCGACGGCGACGUUAUCAUAUUAUUAUCGCCGCGAGAUUUUCGUUUCUCGUGUUGGCACCACCCGUCGCCGGGGUCCGCCAGAUGCCGUGAGCUCCGGAUGAUGGCGGCGGCUAAUCCUGCCGUAUUCCUAUAGUAUAUUAUUAUUUUUAUAAUCAAUGGUAGUGGGUACAGGUAUUAUUAAUACCAACUAUUCUUUUGUUUUCGAUAUAUUUUGUUAUUGUUUUCCAUUUUUUGAGCAGUGGCGUAGUUGUACUUGGCACCGAAAAGAUUAGUACGCAAUUAGAUUUUUCUGAAACUAAGUGAACAAAAAAAUAAUAGGCCACAAAUAGGUAUAAACGGACAGUUCGUUAAACCGGAUAAGUUGUAACACAAACUCGCAAAUUUCGUUUGAUCAGGUUAUUUUCAUAAAAUAUUUCGAUACUUUCAAGUUUCAAGCUCAUCGGAGUGAGAUGAUUAGAUAAAGAUGGAUGAAGAUAGCUGUUUCUUCGGCGAUGGCGGCACUCUAGCUACGUUUCACCGGAAGAGUAGAUGUUUACGGUUCUGGCUGUAUUCUGGAGCGUUUCCUCAUGGGCGUCGCAGUUCACACACGUCACGGAUUCCGCCGAAGGAGUCGAUAAUUAAAACUGAACUUUUGGAUUGGAGAUAUGAAGACGCGCCCUGCAUUUUCCACAGCUCUGACACUAGACAAUAUUAUACACUCGAAGGGAACGCGUUUCGCCGGAAGAAUAAAUAAUUACAUCAUAAAGAUACUAAUAUUGUAUACUAGAUAAGUUUCAAUUAGCGAGAUGUAGAGAUAGAUGGAGAUGGAGCGAGAUGUAGACGGAUGAAGAUAGCUGUUUCUUCGACGACAGCGUGUGCUGCAGUACAGCUAGGUUUCACUGGAAGAGUCGAUGUUUAUGCAAAUGGUUUUCGUCAGUGAACAUUUUCAAACUGGGAAUAAUAUAUCAUAAGCAGAUUGAAAUGUGUGAACGUUUCAGUGUUUCAAAGACUAAGUUUCGUAGCAGAUUUUGAUUCCGUCACGGGGUAUGUAUUUUCUUAUUUCUCAGUAGGUUUUUUUUAUUAUAGUUAAUUGAUCAGGGGAUGUAUUGCCCGAAAAUUUUCAAUAUUUGUAUUGUAACUAUACUGGUAUAACCUUAUUCGGGCUAUCAAUAAAGUCGUGUUCAAAAUUAGAAAAUUGGUGAGGUAUGAUAUUUUUUUAAGCAAUUCUUUCGAGUAGGGAAUUCGCUCAAUGUUUUUUAAAUAUUUUCACCGAUAAUCAAGUACGAUGACUUGUAGGUAACUAUAGACUGAGUGAAUAGGAAUUAGGAGGUGUGUGAUAUGGUGAAGAUAAGGAAAUGGGUCAACAGGAUUUCAGAAUGUUUGGUGUAUGAAAGGGAAAGUUGAAAAAGAAAUGUAAAGUUAGGGUAGGUAAGUGGAAUGAGAGUAGCAGAUAUGAGAAUAAUAAGUAAGGUGUUAAGGUACAAAGGAGAUAGAAUAAGAAAUUAAUUAAUUAAGGGUAGUGUAGGGUAGUGUACAUAUUGUAGUGAGAACAAGAGAGAAUAGGUUUAGGUGGUUCGGUCACUGUAUGAUAAGAGAUAGUGAGAGUGGCUAUAGAAGUUAAUUUAACGGAGAAAUGAUGGGCGAGAAGACUGAAGAAGAGAUGGAUAGACAGAAUACCGAUCAUAUGGAGGUGUGGAAUGAGAGUGGCUGAACCUGUAUAUAGCUGUGAGAGACGGGGGAAGAAAAAGUGUAAAGGUAGAAUAGUUAUGUUAACAAUGCCGAAUACGUAGGAAAAGAUCUUGAAUUGCAAAGGCCCUAUUGACUCUAUGGCUUCAACUAACCAUAGGUUUACCUAACUAACCUUCUUAUGACUCAUUAGGACACUUUGAAUAAAAAGAUCCUGAGUUGCAACCUGCAAACUUAAGUGUUUGAUUAUCAAGUUGAUCCUUUGAUUUGCUGACACCUUAAUCCUUGUUAUGGAUGAAGCCCAUAGAUAAUAAAGAUAUGGAUAGUCCACAGGGGAAAGCAAUUGAGGCUCCUUUAUAUUGAUAGUCGAUGGUCGGUACUCGAUAUAAGUAUACUUUAUUUGGCCUCAAUUUAUUGUUCCCCUCGAAGACCGCUGAUAAGACCACGAUAUGAUGGAGCCAUACCCAGCUCACUCGUGUAAACUGGUUGCCGGUUGGGAUGUCAGCGCACUAUUUGUUUUCCAUCUUUGACCCACGUGUAGCAUACCAAAUGUACGAUUAAGAAAACACUAAAAUGAUUGGGUCAGAGAGAGAAAUAAAUAGUGCGCUAAAAAUCUGACAUCCUCUUAGUGCUAUCAAGUUGAAGAAGCAGUUGAUUGUUGACAGUUUGACAUUUGAAGAGCGAAUGUGUCAAACGUUCUAUGUGCCAAAAACCAAAAUGUUCAGGAAACACAAAAAACAAUACAACAUUCAAUAUAAUAUAUUAUAAUAUUGUGUAAAAAUAUAUGUUAUAUAUUAACAUAACAUUUAUAGCCUAGUUAAGUUCAAUUAUUAUAAUUAUCAUUUAAUAUUAGUUAAAAUUAAACAUUUGCUAAUGACAGUUCCAAGUGCCAAAUCAUAUAAUAUUAAAACUCUAAGUGCCAAAUGGUGUGAUUAUUGUUCCAAGUAACAAUAUUUUAUUGGAAAUAACAGAGAAUUAUUCUUUAUUAUAUUAAUAUAACAAAAUUACGACUUUAACGUAAAAUAAACAUAUUUUCUUCAUUAGGUCAUUGAAAAUUUAAGAAACAUUAUCUUUUUAAGUAUUACAUAUUGAUAAAUAAAAUAACAAACUGAAUAAAAAUUUAAAAAAAACUCUUGAUUAAACUUUAUAUCGACUUGAUACAUUUUAGAACGUAAAAUAAACAUAUUUCCUUCACUUCAGAAUAUAACAAAUAAUAGACAUAAUAAAUUAACAAAUCUAAUUGAAAUUUAUGGGCACAUAGAACAUAUUAUGGCACAAGGCACAUAGAACGCACAUGUGACAAUAGGCAUACCACAUGGAACGGACGCCAUCUAUGAACGCAAUUUUAAACUAGUAAUAAAUCGAAUUGGCACUUGGAACCCAUACAGGAUUAUUGCCUUUGGCACAUAGAACAUAAAUCAGACAUAAAACAAUUUUUCAUUUUUUUGGCACAUAGAACGUUGGACACAUUUGCUCUUGUUAAAUUUUAACAUUAACUGUGGUAGGUAUUAUGAUUGGAAGUAAAAGUAAUUAGCAGGGCUGUGAAUUUAAUGCAAUGAAAAAGUGUUAAAUAUUUGCCUGCAUGUAUGCACUAAAAACAGGCAAAUAUAUGCACUGAAAUAUUAAAAAAUAUGCACUUAAAAUUCAAAAAAAUACGUUUUUAUUAAAAUUUUUUUAAAUUAAUAAAUUAUAAUACAAAUUGGUUUACAAAAAAAAUUCUUUAUUUACACACUUGGUAGGUAGGUAUGUAGGUAGGUAACGGAUGAACCGAAAAUAUAAAAACAUUUUAAGAAAAUAAGCUUAAAUACGAAGAAAUCAUGAAAACAUGCAAUUAUAUUAACUAACCCAAAAAAAAAACGCAUAUUGGUAACGGUGUUGUAAUAAUAGGGAUCUUCCAAAAAAAAUACGUACUAAUAGUUCAAACAAAUCAUAAAAGCCAACUGUAAUAAAUAUUAAUUCAUGAAAAAGUAUAUUAAAAAGCAUUAUUAUUAUUAUAAAUGAAACAAAACUAUGAACUAUGGACCGCGACAUAAUAUAGGUAUUUCUAUAUUUUUAGCUCCAUAAUUUCUGUUAAAAUAUUAGGAAAAUGUAUUAAGUACCGUAUAAGUGCUAAAUUUGAGCUAUUACUUAAAAUAUUAUAUUCAUAACAAAUUAUCAUAGAAGGUUAGGUACUGUUAUUCCACAUACGUAUUAGAGUUUAAUAUAACUACAACAUUCUAGUAGAGUCGGAUAAAAUUUGGUUCCACGACUUUGAUCAUACAAACUUUAAAUACUAAACUAUGGGUCUGAAAUUUAGUUUAUAUAGAUCUAAAUAAUCCACAACAUAUAUUGCUUCAAAAUAUAAAAAUAAAAUGUCUUGUAUUGUAGUAGGUAGGUAACUUUCAAAAAAAAAACUAAAAAAAAUCAUACUUGAAAUCUAUGUAGGUAUAAUAUACGUAUAUUGCAAUAAAUGUUCAAAUGUUUACUAUAGUACAUUAUAAAAAAUUAACUUAAGUUCAAUAUAAUACAUUAUAACAGGUGUUCAAAUAAACAUUUCAUACCAACAAUUUUGUUAAUUCACACAGUCUCUCUUCAAUUUUAAAUUUUUCUUCAAAUUAUCUACAAAAUAUAAAUGUUUAGUAAAUUGGAAGACUUGAUUAAGUAAUUAAUCAUUUAUCUAAAAGAGAUGUGCCGGGUCGCCACAUUACUAUAUCGAGGGGCCAUGGUGCAAGUGUCGUCCAUAAAUAUCAUAACAUAUAUUGUAUUAGUUACAAACUCUUGAAUCAAGAGUUAUGUUUGAGGAUUUGAUUAAUUUCCUAAAAGGAAAUGCCUCAAGGUUGCCUCAGUAAGUUUAGGAAAUAGAGAAGGUUCUUAUAUCAUAUAGUUUUAUCAAAGUAUGAUUGGGUUAGCCACAGUCUUGUGUAAAUUAUAUUGUCUUAUGUUUUCCCAAUCUAAUAAUACAAAAUACCGAAAAUUAAUGAAAUCACAAAUAUUAGUACAAUAGAGAGACUGUGCAUUGAUUUACAAAUUUGUCUUAAAUUUACUUUUUGCAUAGAGAAUAAUAUGAAGGUGGGCUGGGCUUAGAUGCUGAUAAAUCAUCAAUAGAGACUCGUUGAUCGCUUUUAUGUGCUUCAAAUUGU
Molecule: long non-coding RNA, 4871 nt
Organism: Metopolophium dirhodum (rose-grain aphid)
Lineage: Eukaryota; Metazoa; Arthropoda; Insecta; Hemiptera; Aphididae
Exons: 6
Source: RefSeq, a predicted model, not a curated record